Molecule: transfer RNA, 73 nt
Filed under: Merluccius polli (Benguela hake)
Lineage: Eukaryota; Metazoa; Chordata; Actinopteri; Gadiformes; Merlucciidae
Rfam family: tRNA
About the family: Transfer RNA (tRNA) molecules are approximately 80 nucleotides in length. Their secondary structure includes four short double-helical elements and three loops (D, anti-codon, and T loops).
Source: Rfam by way of RNAcentral
GUUUCUGUAGUGUAGUGGUUAUCACGUUCGCUUUACACGCAAAAGGUCCCUGGUUCGAAACCGGGCAGAAGCA